This 179-nucleotide non-coding RNA is filed under the name Litchfieldella anticariensis. RNAcentral's name for it is "Halomonas anticariensis FMN sequence". It matches the Rfam family "FMN riboswitch aptamer (RFN element)". Rfam says of the family: The RFN element is a highly conserved domain that is found frequently in the 5'-untranslated regions of prokaryotic mRNAs that encode for flavin mononucleotide (FMN) biosynthesis and transport proteins. This element is a metabolite-dependent riboswitch that directly binds FMN in the absence of proteins. The record is from RNAcentral. RNAcentral also lists the same sequence under 1 other name. Lineage: Bacteria; Pseudomonadati; Pseudomonadota; Gammaproteobacteria; Oceanospirillales; Halomonadaceae.
ACGUGUUCUCAGGGCGGGGUGAAAGUCCCCACCGGCGGUGAUGGCGACUUUUGCCUCAGCCCGCGAGCGCCCGAUCCGGUUCCUGCGUCUCUUUCCUGGCGACGCGGCCAAGAUCGGGGUCAGCAGAUUCGGUGCGAUUCCGAAGCCGACGGUGAUAGUCCGGAUGGAAGAGAACGGCU